UGCUACUCGUAUUUUAGUGAA
This 21-nucleotide non-coding RNA is filed under the name Caenorhabditis elegans. Lineage: Eukaryota; Metazoa; Nematoda; Chromadorea; Rhabditida; Rhabditidae. The record is from RNAcentral.